UAAGCAUAUCAAUAAGCGGAGGAAAAGAAACCAACAGGGAUUGCCUCAGUAACGGCGAGUGAAGCGGCAACAGCUCAAAUUUGAAAUCUGGCCCCCCGGCCCGAGUUGUAAUUUGCAGAGGAUGCUUCGGGCGAGGUGCCUCCCCAAGUCCCUUGGAACAGGGCGCCUGAGAGGGUGAGAGCCCCGUACGGUGGGAUGCCGAGCCCUUGUGAAGCUCCUUCGACGAGUCGAGUAGUUUGGGAAUGCUGCUCAAAAUGGGAGGUAGACCCCUUCUAAAGCUAAAUACCGGCCAGAGACCGAUAGCGCACAAGUAGAGUGAUCGAAAGAUGAAAAGCACUUUGAAAAGAGGGUUAAACAGCACGUGAAAUUGUUGAAAGGGAAGCGCUCGUGACCAGACUUGCGCCGGGGCGAUCAUCCGGCGUUCUCGCCGGUGCACUCGCCCCGGUUCAGGCCAGCGUCGGUUCGGGAGGGGGGAGAAAUACGCCAGGAAUGUGGCUCCUCCGGGAGUGUUAUAGCCUGGCGCGUCAUGUCCCCGCCCGGACCGAGGUUCGCGCUCUGCAAGGACGCUGGCGUAAUGGUCACUAGCGACCCGUCUUGAAACACGGACCAAGGAGUCGAGGUUCUGCGCGAGUGUCUGGGUGUCAAACCCGCACGCGCAAUGAAAGUGAACGCAGGUGGGAGCUUCGGCGCACCACCGACCGAUCCUGAUGUUCUCGGAUGGAUUUGAGUAGGAGCGUAGGGCCUCGGACCCGAAAGAUGGUGAACUAUGCUUGGAUAGGGUGAAGCCAGAGGAAACUCUGGUGGAGGCUCGCAGCGGUUCUGACGUGCAAAUCGAUCGUCAAAUCUGAGCAUGGGGGCGAAAGACUAAUCGAACCAUCUAGUAGCUGGUUA
This 891-nucleotide ribosomal RNA is filed under the name Neocirrenalia nigrospora. RNAcentral's name for it is "Cirrenalia nigrospora partial large subunit ribosomal RNA". It matches the Rfam family "Eukaryotic large subunit ribosomal RNA", at positions 35 to 957 of the family's 3401-position model. Lineage: Eukaryota; Fungi; Ascomycota; Sordariomycetes; Chaetosphaeriales; Chaetosphaeriaceae. The record is from RNAcentral.